This 252-nucleotide ribosomal RNA is filed under the name uncultured bacterium. RNAcentral's name for it is "partial 16S ribosomal RNA". It matches the Rfam family "Bacterial small subunit ribosomal RNA", at positions 524 to 776 of the family's 1533-position model. The record is from RNAcentral.
UACGGAGGAUGCGAGCGUUAUCCGGAUUUAUUGGGUUUAAAGGGUGCGUAGGCGGGCUUUUAAGUCAGCGGUAAAAAUUCGGGGCUCAACCCCGUCCGGCCGUUGAAACUGGGGGUCUUGAGUGGGCGAGAAGGAGGCGGAAUGCGUGGUGUUGCGGUGAAAUGCAUAGAUAUCACGCAGAACCCCGAUUGCGAAGGCAGCCUUCCGGCGCCCUACUGACGCUGAGGCACGAAAGUGCGGGGAUCGAACAGG